Molecule: ribosomal RNA, 301 nt
Filed under: uncultured bacterium
Lineage: Bacteria
Description: partial 16S ribosomal RNA
Rfam family: Bacterial small subunit ribosomal RNA
Source: RNAcentral
CAGCAGCCACGGUAAUACGAAGGGGGCUAGCGUUGCUCGGAAUCACUGGGCGUAAAGGGCGCGUAGGCGGCCAUUUAAGUCGGGGGUGAAAGCCUGUGGCUCAACCACAGAAUUGCCUUCGAUACUGGAUGGCUUGAGUUCGGUAGAGGUUGGUGGAACUGCGAGUGUAGAGGUGAAAUUCGUAGAUAUUCGCAAGAACACCGGUGGCGAAGGCGGCCAACUGGACCGACACUGACGCUGAGGCGCGAAAGCGUGGGGAGCAAACAGGAUUAGAUACCCGAGUAGUCCCUGUCUCUUAUAC